Podarcis muralis (Common wall lizard) is the source of this 682-nucleotide non-coding RNA. The record is from RefSeq and is a predicted model, not a curated record. Lineage: Eukaryota; Metazoa; Chordata; Lepidosauria; Squamata; Lacertidae.
CACUGCUGUUCCCUUUCCUGCUCCGCCCUCACCUUUUCUUUUUCCAAUUCUUGCUCAAGCCUAAAUUGUUCAGUUUCUUGUUAAAGCCUAAAUUUUUCUUGUUCAGUUCUAUUUUUCUCAAACUCUAAUUUCAAGUUAUAUUUUUGUACUAAUUUCCACUUUUCAAAAUCCCCUGAGAACUUUGGAACCUCUACUUCAGGUGGGGUUUUAGUCAUCUCUUCUGUUCUCGUUUCCUCCCCCUGGGGAUUCCCAUUCUCUUCUCCAGAGCUUUCGUAUGGGUUUUCCCUCACUGGGUGCUUGGUCUUCUAGGGUGGCAUUAUGGGUGGGGUUUCCGUUUACUUGAACUGAACUGAGGCUAGUUUGAUAGCUGAAGUACAGCUGCAGUACCUGUGUAGCCCUUGUCAGGGAGCACUGCUCUGUAACUCCAAUUGGAUGGGAUUUCAGUAGCUGUCAACAUAAGAUGACUUGAUUGGCUCUAAGCGUUAACCACAAGCAGGGUGCUACAUAAGAACAAGCAUGAAGGAAGUUUCCCAGCACACUCACAGGUCCUUAUAAUAUCAGUGGAAACAGUGGUCCAUGCAAGUAUUAACCUCUUUCAAUUUAAGCUGAGGACUGCCAUUUGCUUAAUUUUAAUUAUAACUUAUUUUAAUUAAUUUUGGGAUGCAUUUUAAUCAAUUGACUU